RNAcentral lists this ribosomal RNA (303 nucleotides) under uncultured eukaryote. RNAcentral's name for it is "SSU rRNA". It matches the Rfam family "Eukaryotic small subunit ribosomal RNA", at positions 14 to 319 of the family's 1831-position model. The record is from RNAcentral.
CUGCCAGUAGCAUAUGCUUGUCUCAAAGAUUAAGCCAUGCAUGUCUAAGUACAAGCCUAACUAAGGUGAAACCGCGAAUGGCUCAUUAAAUCACACCUAAUCUACUGGAAUGUUAGCAGUUACUUGGAUAACUGAGGUAAUUCUUGAGCUAAUACAUGCGAAAAAUCUCGACUCACGGAGAGAUGCUUUUAUUAGAUCAAAACCAAACAGCUUCGGCUGUACAACUGGUGACUCUGAAUAACUUUGGGCUGAUCGCAUUGCCUUGUGCAGGCGACAUUUCCUUCGAAGGUGUGCCCUAUCAAA